This 110-nucleotide ribosomal RNA is filed under the name uncultured eukaryote. RNAcentral's name for it is "partial small subunit ribosomal RNA". It matches the Rfam family "Eukaryotic small subunit ribosomal RNA", at positions 1676 to 1785 of the family's 1831-position model. The record is from RNAcentral.
UCGCACCUACCGAUUGAAUGGUCCGGUGAAAUUUCGGGAUUGAUUGAUAGUUGAUUUAUUUUGAUUGUUAAUCGAGAACUUACUUAAACCUUAUCAUUUAGAGGAAGGUG